GAUGAACGCUAGCUACAGGCCUAACACAUGCAAGUCGAGGGGCAUCGGGAGGGAAGCUUGCUCCCCUUGCCGGCGACCGGCGCACGGGUGAGUAACGCGUAUCGAACCUGCCCCAUACCCGGGGAUAGCCUUGCGAAAGUAAGAUUAAUACCCGAUGGCUUCCUUUUAUCUCCUGAUAGAGGGAAUAAAGAAUUUCGGUAUGGGAUGGCGAUGCGUCCGAUUAGCUGGUUGGCGGGGUAACGGCCCACCAAGGCGACGAUCGGUAGGGGUUCUGAGAGGAAGGUCCCCCACAUUGGAACUGAGACACGGUCCAA
This 314-nucleotide ribosomal RNA is filed under the name uncultured bacterium. Its description in RNAcentral is "bacterial SSU rRNA". It matches the Rfam family "Bacterial small subunit ribosomal RNA", at positions 28 to 334 of the family's 1533-position model. The record is from RNAcentral.